AGUGAACGCUGGCGGUAGGCCUAUCACAUGCAAGUCGAACGGCAGCACAGUAAGAGCUUGCUCUUACGGGUGGCGAGUGGCGGACGGGUGAGGAAUACAUCGGAAUCUACUUUUUCGUGGGGGAUAACGUAGGGAAACUUACGCUAAUACCGCAUACGACCUACGGGUGAAAGCAGGGGAUCUUCGGACCUUGCGCGAUUGAAUGAGCCGAUGUUGGAUUAGCUAGUUGGCGGGGUAAAGGCCCACCAAGGCGACGAUCCGUAGCUGGUCUGAGAGGAUGAUCAGCCACACUGGAACUGAGACACGGUCCAGACUCCUACGGGAGGCAGCAGUGGGGAAUAUUGGACAAUGGGCGCAAGCCUGAUCCAGCCAUACCGCGUGGGUGAAGAAGGCCUUCGGGUUGUAAAGCCCUUUUGUUGGGAAAGAAAAGCAGCAGGUUAAUACCCCGCUGUUCUGACGGUACCCAAAGAAUAAGCACCGGCUAACUUCGUG
RNAcentral lists this ribosomal RNA (492 nucleotides) under uncultured bacterium. Its description in RNAcentral is "partial 16S ribosomal RNA". It matches the Rfam family "Bacterial small subunit ribosomal RNA", at positions 29 to 507 of the family's 1533-position model. The record is from RNAcentral.